Molecule: small nuclear RNA, 108 nt
Organism: Suncus etruscus (white-toothed pygmy shrew)
Lineage: Eukaryota; Metazoa; Chordata; Mammalia; Eulipotyphla; Soricidae
Source: RefSeq, a predicted model, not a curated record
GUGCUCGCUUCGGCAGCACAUAUACCAAAAAUUGGAACGAUACAGAGAAGAUUAGCAUGGCCCCUGUGCAAGGAUGACAACAAAAUUCAUGAAGCGUUCCAUAUUUUU